UGGGUCUUAUUCUAAGAGGAUUCUUGUCAUUGCACUGCAUCCAUAUCGAGUCUCCAAGAUUUGCUUUCCACUGCUUAUAUGAGAUCCCAGUAGCGGUAUUUUGAUAAUUUUGCACAUCCGUACUUAAACAACUUGUAAUCCCUUUCUGUCCAACAUUUUGCGUUCGUGAUCCUCCUGCUCCAUGCCUAGCAGAAAGUUCUGGAAAGUCGGUGUUAUAUUCCGCUGAGACGGAGGAGCUUCCAGGCGCCUAAAUAGUUGGCUUGGAGAGGGAUGGGGACGGUAAAUGGGUCUUAUUUUAAGACCCAUGCUCGAGUAUCAUCCGAUACUGAUGUCAAUUGGAGAGCGAGGUUUUUUCCCAACUGACACUUUUUUGGCGCUCCAGAACUCCGGAGAUUGGUCUGUAAACUACGUGCAUUUUGUUGAAGGCAACCUUGGAGAUAGUGACUGAGAUAUCCAAGAAUUUAGCCGGAAAAAGUACAGGGCUUCUCUGUAAAUGACAAGUUUCUUUAUGUUUUAAAGAAAAAUGUGCGAAAACAGGGAUUUGAAGAAAACUGUGUGGGACUUCUCAAUCUGUACAGGGUACUAGUGGACCAUGGUUCUGAUAAUGCAAUCAAUGUGCCACAUGUGGAAGUGGAAAGAGAAAUUAGUAAUAGAUUUCCACAAAUGUGGAUUCAUCUAUUUUCAUUUGUGUUCUUACAUGGUGUUUUGGACGACAAUUUGAACUACUUGCUGAAUCGAAGACCUCCCAUUUCUGAAUAUUGAUGAAGAGAUUGAUGAAGAACGAGAAUAAUGCCUUGUGUGGGAUUGUGAUUGUACUACUUUUCUUUUAGUGUUAAUGAAAUAUUUUAUAAGAACAAGAAUAAUGAUUUGUGUGGGAUUGUGAUUGCA
Long non-coding RNA from Rosa chinensis, 888 nucleotides. RefSeq lists it as uncharacterized. The transcript has 4 exons. The record is from RefSeq and is a predicted model, not a curated record. NCBI's taxonomy places the organism in Eukaryota, Viridiplantae, Streptophyta, Magnoliopsida, Rosales, Rosaceae.